CAAUAGCGUAUAUUAAAGUUGUUGCGGUUAAAAAAGCUCGUAGUUGGAGUUCUGCCAGGUGCCGCCUGUCCGCCCCAGUGGUGAGUACGUGGCGCGCAUUUGGCCCUUUCAAGGGGAGCGUAUCUGCACUUUAUUGUGUGGUGCGGGAUCCUUGACUUUUACUUUGAGGAAAUAGGAGUGUUCCAAGCAGGCUCUCGUCGUGCACAGCUCAGCAUGGAAUAAUAGCAUUGGACCUCGAUUCUAAGCUGUUGGUUGCCAGAAGCGAGGUAAUGAUUAAGAGGGACAGACGGGGGGCAUUCGUACUGGGCCGCCAGAGGUGAAAUUCUUUAACUGGCUCAUGACGAACCACUGCGAAAGCAUUUGCCAAGAAUGUUUUCAUUAAUCAAGAACGAAAGUCAGAGGGUCGAAGAAGAUCAGAU
This 419-nucleotide ribosomal RNA is filed under the name uncultured eukaryote. RNAcentral describes it as "bacterial SSU rRNA". It matches the Rfam family "Eukaryotic small subunit ribosomal RNA", at positions 592 to 1013 of the family's 1831-position model. The record is from RNAcentral.